Long non-coding RNA from Ornithorhynchus anatinus (platypus), 728 nucleotides. RefSeq lists it as uncharacterized. The transcript is spliced from 3 exons. The record is from RefSeq and is a predicted model, not a curated record. NCBI's taxonomy places the organism in Eukaryota, Metazoa, Chordata, Mammalia, Monotremata, Ornithorhynchidae.
UGGCAGAGCCGGGACUAGGACCCAGGUCCUUUCGAAUCCCAGGCCCGGGCUCUAUCCACUAGGCCACAGAGCUUCUCUGCUCCAGAGCAGCGGCGGGUUGAGGGGGCAGCCCCGGAGAGUGGACAAUGCCACCUGGCAAUCGUCUGGCAACCGAGGCCCUGGGCUGAGCUGGGGAGACCCCAGUGUUGACUCCUCUGUCUCCCAUAGAUGCCCGCUUGGCCGUGGGUGGCUGGCCCCUGUUUGGGCCCCGUUAGACAUUAUUCCUAGGAGAAAAUAUUCCAAGAAGAAGCCAGUUUUCCCUUCUCGCUGGUCUCUCCCGUUUGCACCUGGCUGUGUCUGUCCCAGGGGGAGUCUGACCGUGUCCCAGACUUGGUUGACAAGACCCCGAUGACCCCUCCCUGCCGUUCCCGGCUCCGGGCCGUCCCCGAGGAUGCACAGACCUUUACUCCCCGAGGACGCGCGCAAGACCAGAUGAGGUGACUGAGGCCCAGAGAAGAGAAGUGAUCUAUCUGCUCAACGUCACAGAGCGGCCAUACGGCAGAACCGGGAUUAGAACCCAGGUCCUUGCGAUUCCCAGGCCGGUGCUCUAUCCACGGAGCCACGCUGCUUCCCCUUCACCUUCCACUGACCCGCAGGACCCGAAUUCCAGCUGGUUUUCUCCACCUCCCAGAUAGCAUCUCCGAGUCAGAUGAGGGAACUGAGGCCCAGAGAAGUGAAGUGACUCGCCC